GAAAUGCGAUAAGUAAUGUGAAUUGCAGAAUUCAGUGAAUCAUCGAAUCUUUGAACGCACAUUGCGCCCGCUAGUAUUCUGGCGGGCAUGCCUGUUCGAGCGUCAUUUCAACCAUCAAGCCCUAGGCUUGUGUUGGGGCCCUGCGGCCGUCCGCAGCCCCCUAAAAACAGUGGCGGGCUCGCUAUAUACCGAGUGCAGUAGUUUACUCUUCGCUCAGGACAUGUAGUGGGUUCUUGCCGUAAAACCCCCCAUUUUCUAAGGUUGACCUCGGAUCAGGUAGGAAUACCCGCUGAACUUAA
RNAcentral lists this unclassified non-coding RNA (299 nucleotides) under uncultured Lasiosphaeriaceae. RNAcentral's name for it is "sequence contains ITS1". The stretch from base 1 to 105 matches the Rfam family "5.8S ribosomal RNA", at positions 50 to 154 of the family's 154-position model. Lineage: Eukaryota; Fungi; Ascomycota; Sordariomycetes; Sordariales; Lasiosphaeriaceae. The record is from RNAcentral.